UACGUAGGGGGCAAGCGUUGUCCGGAAUUAUUGGGCGUAAAGCGCGUGUAGGCGGUUCGGUAAGUCCGCUGUGAAAGUCGGGGGCUCAACCCUCGGAUGCCGGUGGAUACUGUCGAGCUUGAGUACGGAAGAGGCGAGUGGAAUUCCUGGUGUAGCGGUGAAAUGCGCAGAUAUCAGGAGGAACACCAAUUGCGAAGGCAGCUCGCUGGGACGUUACUGACGCUGAGACGCGAAAGCGUGGGGAGCAAACAGG
This 253-nucleotide ribosomal RNA is filed under the name uncultured bacterium. RNAcentral's name for it is "partial 16S ribosomal RNA". It matches the Rfam family "Bacterial small subunit ribosomal RNA", at positions 524 to 776 of the family's 1533-position model. The record is from RNAcentral.